UACGGGGGGGGCAAGCGUUGUUCGGAAUUACUGGGCGUAAAGGGCUCGUAGGCGGCCAACUAAGUCGGACGUGAAAUCCCCAGGCUCAACCUGGGAACUGCGUCCGAUACUGGAUGGCUUGAAUCCGGGAGAGGGAUGCAGAAUUCCAGGUGUAGCGGUGAAAUGCGUAGAUAUUGGGAAGAACACCGGUGGCGAAGGCGGCGACCUGGUCCGAUACUGACGCUGAGGUGCGAAAGCGUGGGGAGCAAACAGG
This 253-nucleotide ribosomal RNA is filed under the name uncultured bacterium. RNAcentral's name for it is "partial 16S ribosomal RNA". It matches the Rfam family "Bacterial small subunit ribosomal RNA", at positions 524 to 776 of the family's 1533-position model. The record is from RNAcentral.